RNAcentral lists this ribosomal RNA (272 nucleotides) under uncultured prokaryote. Its description in RNAcentral is "partial 16S ribosomal RNA". It matches the Rfam family "Bacterial small subunit ribosomal RNA", at positions 524 to 796 of the family's 1533-position model. The record is from RNAcentral.
UACGUAGGGACCAAGCGUUGUUCGGAUUUACUGGGCGUAAAGGGCGCGUAGGCGGCGUGACAAGUCACUUGUGAAAUCUCUGAGCUUAACUCAGAACGGCCAAGUGAAACUGUUGUGCUAGAGUGCAGAAGGGGCAAUCGGAAUUCUUGGUGUAGCGGUGAAAUGCGUAGAUAUCAAGAGGAACACCUGAGGUGAAGACGGGUUGCUGGGCUGACACUGACGCUGAGGCGCGAAAGCCAGGGGAGCAAACGGGAUUAGAUACCGGGUAGUCC